GACGAGCGCUGGCGGCGUGCUUAACACAUGCAAGUCGAACGGAAAGGCCCUGCUUGCAGGGUACUCGAGUGGCGAACGGGUGAGUAACACGUGGGUGAUCUGCCCUGCACUUCGGGAUAAGCUUGGGAAACUGGGUCUAAUACCGGAUAGGAGCCAUCUUUAGUGUGGUGGUUGGAAAGUUUUUUCGGUGUAGGAUGAGCUCGCGGCCUAUCAGCUUGUUGGUGGGGUAAUGGCCUACCAAGGCGGCGACGGGUAGCCGGCCUGAGAGGGUGUACGGCCACAUUGGGACUGAGAUACGGCCCAGACUCCUAUGGGAGGCAGCAGUGGGGAAUAUUGCACAAUGGGCGCAAGCCUGAUGCAGCGACGCCGCGUGGGGGAUGAAGGCCUUCGGGUUGUAAACUCCUUUCGCUAGGGACGAAGCUUUUUUGUGACGGUACCUAGAUAAGAAGCACCGGCUAACUACGUG
Molecule: ribosomal RNA, 466 nt
Filed under: uncultured bacterium
Lineage: Bacteria
Description: partial 16S ribosomal RNA
Rfam family: Bacterial small subunit ribosomal RNA
Source: RNAcentral